UGUUAUACUUGCGAAGCGGGAUGGAGCAGUUAGGUAGCUCGUCGGGCUCAUAACCCGAAGGUCAUAGGUUCAAA
RNAcentral lists this transfer RNA (74 nucleotides) under Lactococcus lactis subsp. lactis. Its description in RNAcentral is "tRNA-Met". The stretch from base 15 to 74 matches the Rfam family "tRNA", at positions 1 to 57 of the family's 71-position model. From Rfam's summary of the family: Transfer RNA (tRNA) molecules are approximately 80 nucleotides in length. Their secondary structure includes four short double-helical elements and three loops (D, anti-codon, and T loops). The record is from RNAcentral. Lineage: Bacteria; Bacillati; Bacillota; Bacilli; Lactobacillales; Streptococcaceae.